RNAcentral lists this ribosomal RNA (192 nucleotides) under uncultured bacterium. Its description in RNAcentral is "partial 16S ribosomal RNA". It matches the Rfam family "Bacterial small subunit ribosomal RNA", at positions 1309 to 1500 of the family's 1533-position model. The record is from RNAcentral.
AACCCGCCUACAUGAAGUCGGAAUUGCUAGUAAUCGUGGAUCAGCAUGCCACGGUGAAUACGUUCCCGGGCCUUGUACACACCGCCCGUCAAACCAUGAGAGUUGGCAACACCCGAAGCCUGUAGCUUAACCGCAAGGAUGGCGCAGUCGAAGGUGGGGUCGAUGAUUAGGGUUAAGUCGUAACAAGGUAUC